ACGAACGCUGGCAGCGUGCCUCAUACAUGCAAGUUGAGCGCUGAAGGUUGGUACUUGUACCACCUGGAUGAGCAGCGAACGGGUGAGUAACGCGUGGGGAAUCUGCCUUUGAGCGGGGGACAACAUUUGGAAACGAAUGCUAAUACCGCAUAAAAACUUUAAACACAAGUUUUAAGUUUGAAAGAUGCAAUUGCAUCACUCAAAGAUGAUCCCGCGUUGUAUUAGCUAGUUGGUGAGGUAAAGGCUCACCAAGGCGAUGAUACAUAGCCGACCUGAGAGGGUGAUCGGCCACAUUGGGACUGAGACACGGCCCAAACUCCUACGGGAGGCAGCAGUAGGGAAUCUUCGGCAAUGGACGAAAGCCUGACCGAGCAACGCCGCGUGAGUGAAGAAGGUUUUCGGAUCGUAAAACUCUGUUGGUAGAGAAGAACGUUGGUGAGAGUGGAAAGCUCAUCAAGUGACGGUAACUACCCAGAAAGGGACGGCUAACUACGUG
This 496-nucleotide ribosomal RNA is filed under the name uncultured bacterium. RNAcentral's name for it is "partial 16S ribosomal RNA". It matches the Rfam family "Bacterial small subunit ribosomal RNA", at positions 29 to 507 of the family's 1533-position model. The record is from RNAcentral.